UAUCUCAACCAUUAAUCGCGCAUUAUCUAACGGUUGUCAAUUCACCCGCUUCAUUAAGGGUAAAAUGGUAAUAUUUGCAAAUCGAAUGACUAUCUAAUUUUUCUAGUCGCUUCUUUUUCGUUUUCUCUCUCUUGUUCAGACUUUCUCUUUUUUUCUUUGAAUGCUCUCUAAAGAGGUUUCAUUUCUUCGGUUUCGCACAUCGAAUUCUUCAAAUUGGUUUAUUUAAGUUCUUUGAUUUGCUGUUUCUGGUUGUUUCUGGAGAGGUAAGUGUUUUGAUUUCGUAUAUUUUUGUUGUUUUUUAAAUUCAAUUAGGGUCUUUUUUAAAAUAAAGGUUGGGCGAUUUCGAUUGCAAAAAUUAGGGUUUUCACUACUAUUUGUUUCACUUUUUGUGAUUUCGAUUGAUGUAUAAAACUCUUACAAUCAUAUAUUAGCGUAUUGUGGUUUCAUUUAAUUAGCUGCAAUUAUGGUUUUGUGGUUGAAUUAUUGAUAUAUUCUUAUAUUUGGUAUUAUUAAAUUGUUGCUUGCUUGAUAAAAUUUUGGUUUUUUUGUUAGAUUGUAUGGUAAAUUACUUUUGGGUUUUUCUAAGAUAUGCCCCUAAACUUCUUCGGUUUCUAAGCUGUGCCCACAGUUUUUUAAACGUCUAAGCUAUGCCCUCCACCUUACUAUUUUCUAUUAAAAAUAACCUAUGUCAUUAGCCGUAAGUAACGGACGUUAAGGUCUGUUAGUUGUCGUUGCUAGUUAAAAUAGAAAUUAAAAAAAAAACAAUUAAAUUCCUUAAAACAAUUAAAUAAUUAAAGUCCUUCUAGUUCCCAAACAAUGAUAGUAUCAAACACCUCUUAUUAAACUCCUCUUCUACUCUGUUUCAUGAACACUCAAAUGAAAAUCAAAACCCUUAAAAAGUAGUGCCCAGAAAUUUGCGAUAGAAAUCAAAUUGACGAGUUGCGUGGUUGAAUUUCGUGGAGUUGUGGGUUGCAAACAAAAGUUGGGUUGCGAUUUGGUUGAGAGAAGGAGUCAUAGUGUGGUUGCGUUGCUGAAUUUCACCAAAAACGGGAAUUUAAGCUUGGAAGAAAGGUAAUUUUGAAUAAAUUUGUGAGAUUCAUAGCAACUUUGUUGAAUUUCGUGGAGUUGUGGGUUGCGAUCUUCAUCUGGGUUGCAAUUUCGUUGCGAGCUGGAGUGGAGUGGCUGCGUUGCUGAAUUUCACUAAAAAACGGGAAUUUCGGCUUGGGAAGACAGAAUGGGUGAAAGGGUGUUGAAAAUGCAUUUCAUGGGUAACUCUGUUGAUGUUAUGGUUGCUGAUAUAGAUGAAUGUUUGCUGAUAGAUGUAGUGAAUGAUAUGGUUGACAAAUUUAGUUCUUUUGGGUAUGAACUCCCCACUUUUCCUGUGUUAAGUUAUUGUUCCAAUGGGAAGAGUCAUGCACUUACUGAUGAUAAAACACUAAUGACCAUGUUUGAGGUAGUUGAAUCUAGGAGGAUAGAUAUAUGGAUUGGUUGUUUGAAGUAACCUAAUUUUAUUUGGACCUUAGCUGAAAAGGUAAGGUUGAAAGGAUCAAAUGAAAGUGGUUCAGCAUCACUACCUAAACCACCAAUAACUAUACUACCAGUUAGGGGUGGUAAGAGGGGUAAGCCUGAAGAAAAAAAUUCUGGUAAUCUAUUUUCAACCCCAUCAUCUCAUGGACCAUCUAAAAUUAAAUCUCCUGAACAAAGUCAAACCAUUACUUUGUCAAGCCCAAGAAGAAGCCCCGGGCUUAUGGCUUCUAGCCCCCCAACCACACAAGAAUCCUUAAUCAACCCUCCAACUUCAGGUGUCACCCAAACAGGUCCUAGUGUUAGCCAUGCUGCCCCUACUAAACUAAACAAUAUUCUUAAGCCUUCUUCAUUCCUUCAUGGUAAAAAAAAUCUUUAAAUCUACCCUUAAAUACAAGGGGUUAUGGGUUCCACCUCAACCAAUCACUGAAGCCAAUGAAGUUCAGAAGGAGCAACCAUCUGUUAGAACUGGAAAGAGGACUAGGGUUAGGCUAGAUGAUGAUGUUGGGGUGUCAAAUGUGAGUGGGGCUUUAUCUGAUAGUAGUGGUACAGAUAGUGAAGGGGAUUACCAACCUGACCAAGGUUUUGAUGUAGACACUGAAUCUGAUAGUAGUGGUACAGAUAGUGAAGGAUCCAACAGAUUAUGUGAGUGAAUGGUUCACUGUAGCUAAGUACAGACAAGCCUACAGUGGAAACAUAUCCCCUGUUCCUGAUCAAGAGCAAUGGCCACACAUUGAUGGUGUUCCAACCCUCAUACCACCAACAAUGAAACGAAGUAUUGGCAGACCAACAAGAAAUAGGAGGAGAGAGGAAGGGGAGCAGAGAAAAGGAAAAAGAAGUGCAACCGUCCAGUGUAGUAACUGCAAGAAUUAUGGGCUCAAUAUGGCAACAUGCAAAGGUGGCCCAACUUCCAGAGAAGUAGCCGAGCAACAAGGGAAGAUUGUGCCACAAAAGGGAGGCAAUAAAGGAAAAAAAGCACAGAGACUACCUGAAGAUAAUGAUGUUGACUUCUCCCUGAUUGAAUUGAUGGUCAGUGGAAAUUACGCUAGUGAAGGUGCUGAUAGAACAGACAACCGUACUCACCACAGUGGUGCAUCAAAAGGGAAAGGAAAUUCACACCAAGAUCAGUCCAGCAACAGUGAUGCAUUUGAUCAUAGCUUCAUUGAUACCAUGAAUGCAUCUUCAUAGCCCCAAGUUCAAACAUCAAACCAAAGUGCAGAACUCAGGCAACCAUCGAUGAGUCAGCCUUAGGUAAUCAGAUCCUUUAAGCAAGCUAACAUACACUCUGAAAUGGGUGAAACUUAUCCUUUUGUAAUUAUUGGGGCAAACUGUAAUCACUUUUUUUGGGCAUAAUCACUAUAAUGUAAUGUUGUUAGUGUUAUGUCAGGUAUGCAACUGGCCUAGUUUUUGGGGCAAACUUUAGUUUUUGUGGCAAACAAUACUUUUUAAGCCAACUUUUGUGUUAUUGCUACUAAGUGAUGUAAUGUUUUGGGCAAAUUGUGAAUAUAUGGUACUUUCGGUUGACAUUA
Chenopodium quinoa (quinoa) is the source of this 3053-nucleotide long non-coding RNA. RefSeq lists it as uncharacterized. NCBI's taxonomy places the organism in Eukaryota, Viridiplantae, Streptophyta, Magnoliopsida, Caryophyllales, Amaranthaceae. The record is from RefSeq and is a predicted model, not a curated record. The transcript is spliced from 2 exons.